This 663-nucleotide ribosomal RNA is filed under the name Ommatogammarus flavus. RNAcentral's name for it is "bacterial SSU rRNA". It matches the Rfam family "Eukaryotic small subunit ribosomal RNA", at positions 1255 to 1763 of the family's 1831-position model. Lineage: Eukaryota; Metazoa; Arthropoda; Malacostraca; Amphipoda; Ommatogammaridae. The record is from RNAcentral.
CUCUUUCUCGAUUCAGUGGAUGGUGGUGCAUGGCCGUUCUUAGUUGGUGGAGUGAUCUGUCUGGUUAAUUCCGAUAACGAACGAGACUCUCCCCUGCUAACUAGUCGGUUGGAUCUUGAUCAGUGGGUUGAGUGCCGAGUAACUCUCGCUGUGCGUGGUGUGCGUCUCGUUCCUCACGGUUCGUUGCGUGCUCAUGUGUGGCGUUGGAUGCCUUGGAUCACACUGCACCCCAAGUCCGCCGCUUUGCUAUAACUCUUCUUAGAGGGAUUCACGGCACUGAAGCCGUAAGAGACUGAGAGCAAUAACAGGUCUGUGAUGCCCUUAGAUGCUCUGGGCCGCACGCGCGCUACAAUGCCGGGCACAGCAGGUGUUUCUCCUGCUCCGACAGGAGCGGGUAACCCUCUGAAAGCCAGUGUUCUUGCAAGUGCUUCCUCCCUCGUGGAGUUGCACAGAGGCGUGCUUGGGCCUGGGACUUGCAAUUCUUUCCCACCAACGAGGAAUGCCUAGUAGCGGCGGGUCACUGAGCCCGCUGUGACUCAGUCCCUGCCCUUUGUACACACCGCCCGUCGCUACUACCGAUUGGGUGUACCAGUGAGAGCCUUGGACUGGCGUCCGUUGUUGCUCGAAAGAGUGACAAGCGGGUCCGACGGAAAGAGGUCCGAA